CCACCUACCUCUCCCACACUCUAGAAAAGUAGUUUCAAAUGCAGUUCUGUAGUUAAGCUACAGGAUUUCACAUCUGACUUACUUUCCCGCCUACGCACUCUUUACGCCCAGUGAUUCCGAGUAACGCUUGCACCCUCCGUAUUACCGCGGCUGCUGGCACGGAGUUAGCCGGUGCUUAUUCGUUGGAUACCGUCAUAAUCUUCUCUAACAAAAGGAGUUUACAAUCCUAAAACCUUCAUCCUCCACGCGGCGUUGCUGCUUCAGGCUUUCGCCCAUUGAGCAAUAUUCCCUACUGCUGCCUCCCGUAGGAGUCUGGACCGUGUCUCAGUUCCAGUGUGUCCGAUCACCCUCUCCGGCCGGAUACCCGUCAUAUCCUUGGUGAGCCUUUACAA
RNAcentral lists this ribosomal RNA (392 nucleotides) under uncultured Helicobacter sp. RNAcentral describes it as "partial 16S ribosomal RNA". The record is from RNAcentral. Lineage: Bacteria; Pseudomonadati; Campylobacterota; Epsilonproteobacteria; Campylobacterales; Helicobacteraceae.